This 252-nucleotide ribosomal RNA is filed under the name uncultured prokaryote. Its description in RNAcentral is "partial 16S ribosomal RNA". It matches the Rfam family "Bacterial small subunit ribosomal RNA", at positions 525 to 775 of the family's 1533-position model. The record is from RNAcentral.
CCAGAGGCGGCAAGCGUUGUUCGGCCUUCUUGGGGUUCCCUCUCCUUUCUUCUUCUCUUUCCUUCGGUUUUUCCAGCCUUCUGCUUAACGGAAGAAUGGCGGUCGAAACUGCAUGGCUUGAGUGCGGGAGGGGAGAGUGGAACUUCUGGUGGAGCGGUGAAAUGCGUAGAUAUCGGGAGGAACGUCGGCGGCGAAAGCGACUCUCUAGACCGUAACUGACGCUGAGUGUGCGAAAGCUAGGGGAGCAAACGG